GACGAACGCUGGCGGCGCGCUUAACACAUGCAAGUCGAGCGAGAACCAUGGCUUCGGCCAUGGGGACAGCGGCGAACGGGUGAGUAACACGUGGGUAAUCUGCCCUCGACACUGGGAUAG
RNAcentral lists this ribosomal RNA (120 nucleotides) under uncultured bacterium. Its description in RNAcentral is "partial 16S ribosomal RNA". It matches the Rfam family "Bacterial small subunit ribosomal RNA", at positions 28 to 146 of the family's 1533-position model. The record is from RNAcentral.